RNAcentral lists this ribosomal RNA (486 nucleotides) under Metaceronema sp. S8B139. Its description in RNAcentral is "SSU rRNA". It matches the Rfam family "Eukaryotic small subunit ribosomal RNA", at positions 51 to 446 of the family's 1831-position model. Lineage: Eukaryota; Metazoa; Arthropoda; Insecta; Hemiptera; Coccidae. The record is from RNAcentral.
AUGCAUGUCCUAAGUGCAAGCCGUCCAGCACGGUGAAACCGCGAAAGGCUCAUUAAAUCAGUUAUGGUUCCUUAGAUCGUACCCACGUUACAUGGAUAACUGUGGUAAUUCUAGAGCUAAUACAUGCCCACAGAGCUCCGACCAGCGUUCCAGUCGUUCGGCGGGUUCGCGCCCGUCGUCGCUGGUCGUUCGGAAGGAGCGCUUUUAUUAGAUCAAAACCGGCCAAGCGUGUCGUUCGCGCUUCGCGCGCGUACGCGCGUAAGUGGCCCGCGCAAAGACUUGACGACUCUGAAUAACUUCGAGCUGAUCGCACGGUCCUCGUACCGGCGACGUAUCUUUCAAAUGUCUGCCUUAUCAACUGUCGACGGUAGGUUCUACGCCUACCGUGGUGGUAACGGGUAACGGGGAAUCAGGGUUCGAUUCCGGAGAGGGAGCCUGAGAAACGGCUACCACAUCCAAGGAAGGCAGCAGGCGCGCAAAUUAUCC